This 559-nucleotide ribosomal RNA is filed under the name Citrobacter freundii. RNAcentral's name for it is "partial 23S ribosomal RNA". It matches the Rfam family "Bacterial large subunit ribosomal RNA", at positions 1 to 590 of the family's 2925-position model. The record is from RNAcentral. Lineage: Bacteria; Pseudomonadati; Pseudomonadota; Gammaproteobacteria; Enterobacterales; Enterobacteriaceae.
GGGUUGUGAGGUUAAGCGACUAAGCGUACACGGUGGAUGCCCUGGCAGUCAGAGGCGAUGAAGGACGUGCUAAUCUGCGAUAAGCGUCGGUAAGGUGAUAUGAACCGUUAUAACCGGCGAUUUCCGAAUGGGGAAACCCAGUGUGAUUCGUCACACUAUCAUUACGUGAAUACAUAGCGUAAUGAAGCGAACCGGGGGAACUGAAACAUCUAAGUACCCCGAGGAAAAGAAAUCAACCGAGAUUCCCCCAGUAGCGGCGAGCGAACGGGGAGCAGCCCAGAGUCUGAAUCAGCUUGUGUGUUAGUGGAACGGUCUGGAAAGUCCGACGGUACAGGGUGAUAGUCCCGUACACCAAAAUGCACAGGUUGUGAACUCGAAGAGUAGGGCGGGACACGUGGUAUCCUGUCUGAAUAUGGGGGGACCAUCCUCCAAGGCUAAAUACUCCUGACUGACCGAUAGUGAACCAGUACCGUGAGGGAAAGGCGAAAAGAACCCCGGCGAGGGGAGUGAAAAAGAACCUGAAACCGUGUACGUACAAGCAGUGGGAGCCUCUUUAUGG